Molecule: ribosomal RNA, 1071 nt
Filed under: Corynebacterium striatum
Lineage: Bacteria; Bacillati; Actinomycetota; Actinomycetes; Mycobacteriales; Corynebacteriaceae
Description: bacterial SSU rRNA
Rfam family: Bacterial small subunit ribosomal RNA
Source: RNAcentral
UUUGUGGAGAGUUUGAUCCUGGCUCAGGACGAACGCUGGCGGCGUGCUUAACACAUGCAAGUCGAACGGAAAGGCCUGCAGCUUGCUGCGGGUACUCGAGUGGCGAACGGGUGAGUAACACGUGGGUGAUCUGCCUUGCACUUCGGGAUAAGCUUGGGAAACUGGGUCUAAUACCGGAUAGGACAGCUGUUUAGUGUCAGUUGUGGAAAGUUUUUUCGGUGCAAGAUGAGCUCGCGGCCUAUCAGCUUGUUGGUGGGGUAAUGGCCUACCAAGGCGUCGACGGGUAGCCGGCCUGAGAGGGUGUACGGCCACAUUGGGACUGAGAUACGGCCCAGACUCCUACGGGAGGCAGCAGUGGGGAAUAUUGCACAAUGGGCGGAAGCCUGAUGCAGCGACGCCGCGUGGGGGAUGAAGGCCUUCGGGUUGUAAACUCCUUUCGACAGGGACGAAGCGUAAGUGACGGUACCUGUAUAAGAAGCACCGGCUAACUACGUGCCAGCAGCCGCGGUAAUACGUAGGGUGCGAGCGUUGUCCGGAAUUACUGGGCGUAAAGAGCUCGUAGGUGGUUUGUCGCGUCGUCUGUGAAAUUCCGGGGCUUAACUCCGGGCGUGCAGGCGAUACGGGCUGACUUGAGUGCUGUAGGGGAGACUGGAAUUCCUGGUGUAGCGGUGAAAUGCGCAGAUAUCAGGAGGAACACCGAUGGCGAAGGCAGGUCUCUGGGCAGUAACUGACGCUGAGGAGCGAAAGCAUGGGUAGCGAACAGGAUUAGAUACCCUGGUAGUCCAUGCCGUAAACGGUGGGCGCUAGGUGUAGGGGGCUUCCACGUCUUCUGUGCCGUAGCUAACGCAUUAAGCGCCCCGCCUGGGGAGUACGGCCGCAAGGCUAAAACUCAAAGGAAUUGACGGGGGCCCGCACAAGCGGCGGAGCAUGUGGAUUAAUUCGAUGCAACGCGAAGAACCUUACCUGGGCUUGACAUAUACAAGACAGGCGUAGAGAUACGUCCUCCCUUGUGGUUUGUAUACAGGUGGUGCAUGGUUGUCGUCAGCUCGUGUCGUGAGAUGUUGGGUUAAG